Molecule: transfer RNA, 89 nt
Filed under: Desulfobacteraceae bacterium
Lineage: Bacteria; Pseudomonadati; Thermodesulfobacteriota; Desulfobacteria; Desulfobacterales; Desulfobacteraceae
Description: tRNA-Ser
Rfam family: tRNA
About the family: Transfer RNA (tRNA) molecules are approximately 80 nucleotides in length. Their secondary structure includes four short double-helical elements and three loops (D, anti-codon, and T loops).
Source: RNAcentral
GGAGGGAUGGCCGAGUGGUUUAAGGCGGCGGUCUUGAAAACCGCUGUUCCCGAAAGGGACCGGGGGUUCGAAUCCCUCUCCCUCCGCCA